This 497-nucleotide ribosomal RNA is filed under the name uncultured bacterium. RNAcentral's name for it is "partial 16S ribosomal RNA". It matches the Rfam family "Bacterial small subunit ribosomal RNA", at positions 28 to 507 of the family's 1533-position model. The record is from RNAcentral.
GAUGAACGCUGGCGGCGUGCCUAAUACAUGCAAGUCGAGCGAACAGACGAGGAGCUUGCUCCUCUGACGUUAGCGGCGGACGGGUGAGUAACACGUGGAUAACCUACCUAUAAGACUGGGAUAACUUCGGGAAACCGGAGCUAAUACCGGAUAAUAUAUUGAACCGCAUGGUUCAAUAGUGAAAGACGGUUUUGCUGUCACUUAUAGAUGGAUCCGCGCCGCAUUAGCUAGUUGGUAAGGUAAAGGCUUACCAAGGCAACGCGGCGUAGCCGACCUGAGAGGGGGAUCGGCGACACUAGAACGUGAACACGCUCCAGACUCCUACGGGAGGCAGCAGAAGGGAAUCUUCCGCAAUGGGCGAAAGCAUGACGGAGCAACGCCGCGUGAGUGAUGAAGGUCUUCGGAUCGUAAAACUCUGUUAUUAGGGAAGAACAAAUGUGUAAGUAACUAUGCACGUAUUGACGGUACCUAAUCAGAAAGCCACGGCUAACUACGUG